AUGGGACGCAUUGGGAAUGCUCAGCUCGACAGAGUUUCAGAUUUGUUUGAGCAGGACCGGCGCGCAUGGGAUAUAGAAGUGGUGCGGAACAAUUUCCUUGCUCCUGAUGCGGACGCCAUUCUCAACAUUCCGUUGAGGGCAGCUGGAGGUGAGGAUUUUUAUGCUUGGGCUCUCGAACGAUCGGGUGUUUAUUCCGUCAAAACAGCUUACCGUGCUUUAAUGACUCGCAAAGGGCAACUAGCCCCAGAGGAAGGGACGGUAGCGGGACCAUCAUCGCCGGAUAGACACUUAUGGAGAGCUGUGUGGAAACUCAAGGUUAUACCAAGAGUACGUGUAUUCUGGUGGCGUGUUCUCCGGGGGAUUCUCCCUGAUUAUGCCACUCUGCAGCACCGUCAUAUUCGAACUUUGGCUCGCUGUGACCUCUGUCAAGCUAUGACGGAGGAUCUUCAACAUGUGUUAAUGUUCUGCUCGCAUGCAAGGCAAUAUUGGAGGGCUGCAAAAGAGAUUCUGGACAUCAAAUUGCCAAACCUGCAUCCGUCAAAUUGGGCACGGGACAUUGUACUGGAUGGUAUUAUUCUGGAUCAUGACGAGGGAAACUUAUUACAGUUAUGCACGCGAUAUGGACAUCGCGCAACCGAUGGACACAUGAUCAACCUGUUUUUGAUCCGGUUCAAUCGGUGA
Molecule: ribosomal RNA, 681 nt
Filed under: Triticum aestivum (bread wheat)
Lineage: Eukaryota; Viridiplantae; Streptophyta; Magnoliopsida; Poales; Poaceae
Description: partial small subunit ribosomal RNA
Source: RNAcentral